Molecule: transfer RNA, 65 nt
Filed under: Eurysternus sp. KM-2017
Lineage: Eukaryota; Metazoa; Arthropoda; Insecta; Coleoptera; Scarabaeidae
Description: tRNA-Asn
Source: RNAcentral
UUAAUUAAAGCCAAAAAGAGGCAUAUCACUGUUAAUGAUAAUAUUGAGUUUAUACUCUAAUUAAA